UCAGAGCCCGUUAAUGGGUGAUGGCGUGCCUUUUGUAGAAUGAACCGGCGAGUUACGAUUUGAUGCAAGGUUAAGCAGUAAAUGUGGAGCCGUAGCGAAAGCGAGUCUGAAUAGGGCGUUUAGUAUUUGGUCGUAGACCCGAAACCAGGUGAUCUACCCUUGGUCAGGUUGAAGUUCAGGUAACACUGAAUGGAGGACCGAACCGACUUACGUUGAAAAGUGAGCGGAUGAACUGAGGGUAGCGGAGAAAUUCCAAUCGAACCUGGAGAUAGCUGGUUCUCUCCGAAAUAGCUUUAGGGCUAGCCUCAAGUGAUGAUUAUUGGAGGUAGAGCACUGUUUGGACGAGGGGCCCCUCUCGGGUUACCGAAUUCAGACAAACUCCGAAUGCCAAUUAAUUUAACUUGGGAGUCAGAACAUGGGUGAUAAGGUCCGUGUUCGAAAGGGAAACAGCCCAGACCACCAGCUAAGGUCCCAAAAUAUAUGUUAAGUGGAAAAGGAUGUGGCGUUGCCCAGACAACUAGGAUGUUGGCUUAGAAGCAGCCAUCAUUUAAAGAGUGCGUAAUAGCUCACUAGUCGAGUGACACUGCGCCGAAAAUGUACCGGGGCUAAACAUAUUACCGAAGCUGUGGAUUGUCCUUUGGACAAUGGUAGGAGAGCGUUCUAAGGGCGUUGAAGCAUGAUCGUAAGGACAUGUGGAGCGCUUAGAAGUGAGAAUGCCGGUGUGAGUAGCGAAAGACGGGUGAGAAUCCCGUCCACCGAUUGACUAAGGUUUCCAGAGGAAGGCUCGUCCGCUCUGGGUUAGUCGGGUCCUAAGCUGAGG
This 820-nucleotide ribosomal RNA is filed under the name Staphylococcus aureus. RNAcentral's name for it is "partial 23S ribosomal RNA". It matches the Rfam family "Bacterial large subunit ribosomal RNA", at positions 574 to 1401 of the family's 2925-position model. The record is from RNAcentral. Lineage: Bacteria; Bacillati; Bacillota; Bacilli; Caryophanales; Staphylococcaceae.